Molecule: ribosomal RNA, 3846 nt
Filed under: Triticum aestivum (bread wheat)
Lineage: Eukaryota; Viridiplantae; Streptophyta; Magnoliopsida; Poales; Poaceae
Description: partial small subunit ribosomal RNA
Source: RNAcentral
AUCACAACCACCCCCUGAUAGUAGAAGCAAAAGGCACCACCUUUCACCCCAAGCCCGGCAUCAGCCACCAGGCCUGGGUCAGCGUCCCACCGUAGGAAGCUUUAACACCUGCAUCCCCUGCCGGUCUCGGUGGACUGGGGCGAUACAGCCUAAUGGCUACCGAAGGCCACCGCCAAGCCCGCUUGAGCGCCGCCAAAUCUGAGGUUCUCGGUGCCGAUCGGACCGAUGAUAUAGCCAUGCCCAUAGAGCAAAACCUGGACCGACGCUACGAACAGGUAGCAGGCAAGAGGAUCGUAACGUGAAGGAUUGCGCCAACGCGGACCAAGUCAACCCCCAAUACCUGCACGCCAUGCACGGAGUCGCCUAAGACCAAAAAUAUAGUCGCCUAACCCAUCCUCACAAUCGACUAAUAGGGUUGAGCUAAUUAGCCUACGCCCAAUUGCAUGCAUGAAAUUGCUUACCCCCUCCCACCCACUAUAUAGUUGCCUCGCCCACGCACCUAAUCUACCAACCCAAAGCACAGCAAGUCACCCAUGCUAGUCCAAGCACGGAGUCACCUAAGCACCAAAACACAGUCGCCCGCCCAUCCUCACAAUCGACUAACAGGGUUAAGCUAAUUCACCUACGGCCAUUGCAUGCACGGAAUCGCCUACCCCUCCCCUCACUAUAUAGUUGCCUUUCCCACGCUCCCGAUAUACCAACCCAAAGCACAAUAAGUUGCCCUUGCUAAUCCACACACGGAGUCGCCUAAGCCCCAAAAUAUAGUCGUCCGCUCAUCCUCAGAACCAAUUAAUGGGGUUGAGCUAAUUCGCCUACACCCAUUGCAUGCAUGGAAUAGCCUACACCCCGCCCCCACCACACCACCAUCACUCUAUAGCCACCUCGCUCAUGCGAACUUUACUAGCCCAAUACACUAGGUCACCCACGGCCUAAUCCAUGUGAUGGAGUCAUGGAGCAGCCUACAACCCCAACAUAUAUUCGCCGCGCUCACACCCAACUCAACUAAUCCAAUACACUAAGUCACCACACUAAUCGCAACGGAAUCGCUUAAACCCCAAUGCACUGUUGCCCCGUGCCCGUGCUCACAGUCGACUAACCCAAUACACUAGGUCGCCCACAACCUAAUCCAUGCGCUGAGUAGCCUAGCACCCCAACAUGUACUCGUCACGCUCACGCCCAUUGAUCCAAUACACUAAGUCACCAUGCAAAUCAACGCAACGGAGUCGCCUAAACCCCAACAUUGUCGCCUCGUGCCAGCGCUCACAAAUUCACAAUCGGCUAACUGAGUCGCCUAAACCCCAAAACACUAGGUCGCCCACGGCCUAAUCCACACAUUGAAUUGUCUAAGCCCCAGUAUAUAGGCGCCCCAUCCAUACUCACAACUGACUAAUUGGGUUGAACUAAACUGUCCACACCCAUCAUAUGCAUGGAAUCGCCUACCGCCCCACCAUAUAGUCACCAACUCACUCCCUACUCAACUAAUCCAGUACACUAAGUCGCUGCCAACUCAAAGGAAUGGAGAGCAAGUCGUCAACCAAGUCUGGCGACUCGCCCGCGCCCUCAAUCAUCAUAGGCAAACCUACAGGAGGGGCUUGCGUGCAGUAGAGAGGGGCAUCAGCUCUUCAUCAUAGUCAUCAGGAAGAGUAUUCAGGUCAAUGGCAACCAUUUGUGAAGGAAACAUAAAAUGGGUAGAUCAACAAUAGGUGGGAUGAAGGCAACUUUUGAAUUUUUACAUUCUUAGUUUUACAAGUUUAUUUCUCCAAAAAUCAAUCAUAUUUUUAAACUCGGAUCACCUACAACCCUUCUCCUUUUUAGUAAAUCAAAUAGUCUUGAACAACCUCUAUUCAGUCCAGCAGAUUAAUGUGCACACUUUUGAAUCAACAUACUUUAUUCUAGAAGCAAAUCUUUUUGUUGUUGUUCAUCUUCGCGACAUUUCUUUGAACCAAGCAUCAACUCUUUUUAAUUUAGUAGCUAUUUAAGUACCUACACUUGGAACAAGCAAUAGGAACCUACACACUUUUUCGUGAGCAACUAUUUUUUUCAUUUCAUGUUGCAGGGGCCAGACACAAGGCAUUAAACAACACAAACACGAGGGAAAUCAUAAGAUUCAGCUAGCCAUCCAGUUCAUCGGGGAGGGGCAAAAACAUGAAAAUAUACAAGAUCCAAAAUGCAAGAACACCCCCGAAGAGUUUUGGUUUUUGUACCUUUCUGUUUUGUUGCCUGAUCUUUAAAACACAACACAGAGGAGGGGAAGUCCAGAGUUUUUGUGUGAACAGAGUUGCAAGAAUCGUUGAUUUGUAUUGCUUUUGUGUGGACAAAGAUCUAAGCUUCAAGGUUUCUGUAGCGUGCAACCAUGUGCCAAAGUUUUAGAGAAAACAAUUUUAUUAGCCGAGAAUAUUCUUUUGUUUUGCUUGUUCUUUGUGUAGCAGAAAGCUUUGUUGCCUGGGGCAGUUUUUUGUUUCUUGCGCUUCUGGGGCUAGGGAGGGAUGGGAGGGAGAAAAACGAGAUCGGUUCAUAUGUGUCCUUUUCUUGAGGAGAAGGAGGGGGGCGCAUUGGCCUGGCACAAGAGAGGGGUCACGGGAGCACACAGUCUUCAUCUUCAGAGGAAGCCCUCGUGCUUUAUUCCUUUUUUUAGAAUCGUGCUUGGGCACUGGCCUGGCACAAGAGAGGGGUCACGGGAGCACACAGUCUUCAUCUUCAGAGGAAGCCCUCGUGCUUUAUUCCUUUUUUUAGAAUCAUGCUUGGGCAUUGGCCUGACACAAGAGAGGGGUCACGGGAGCACACAGUCUUCAUCUUCAGAGGAAGCCUUCGUGCUUUAUUCUUUUUUUUUUGAAUCGUGCUUCAUUCCGUUAAAUGGGCCUUUUAUAUUUAAUUUAGGUUUAGUUAAUGCCCACAAAUUAUGAUGUUCCAUGUCGUAAUCUAAAAAAAGACCAUAAAAUAGCAAUAGGCACCGAAAAGGACUCCACAGAUUCUAGCUCCCUGCAAAGUGCAAAAUUGCCAUUAGUUGGACCAUGUCAAUGCAAAAUCUGUUGUUAGGUCGAAAUCCUAUCAUGCAAAAACUUGCCAGAUGAAAACUUUAAUUUUCAUGGGAAUUUUAAGAUCCCACAUCUUGGUGAGAACAGGGGUUUGGACUUCCUGAUAAAGUGAUAAGUUAGCCAUCUGUACAUGGAUUUGGUAGAGUAGAUCCUGUUGGCACAGAACUUCCUCCCAUUGUCUCAUGUCACUACCCCCAAAAGCACGAAGAGGAACUCAAUUUAGUCAUGGCUUGUACGUCUUCAUCCGUCAAUGCUUAUGCGGCGGCCAAUUCACCUUCCCUCCACAUGUCGAAAUAAAAAUGAGUGAUUGGUGCUCCAUUAUGUAUGAGCCAUUGCCCGUCAUUUGCACCAGCCGAAUCAAAGAAGGCACUCAUAUCGCCUUGACGUGCGUACCAACAAAAUACCGAUAAGCCUGAGUAGCAGAACACAAAAUUUGACUAAUAAGCCAUCAGAAACCGUGCAUUUAGUCUUUCCUGCAUUAGGUCUAUUUUUGCCAUAUCUCAUUCUGAAUCCAUGUUCCCACGAAUAUAGGUUGUAAAAAUCUUAAGCCUCUCCAGGUGAAUCGAACCCAAAGAAGCUCAACCACAUGUUCACCCAGCUUCUCUGCGUACACCCAUAUCGUCUUUUUAAGAGAAAAGUUCACAUUUCAACCCUAAACUAACCACUCGGUUUAAUUUACAACCCUCAACUUCAAAACCGCUCAAAAUACGAGGGAUUUGAUGUUUUGCCCCACUUUACGAGGGGUUUGAAGAUUUGCAUUGUCUCAAUGACAGUGGCCCCAGGCCCCACCCGGCAACCUCUCGGGGGGGGG